RNAcentral lists this ribosomal RNA (446 nucleotides) under uncultured bacterium. Its description in RNAcentral is "partial 16S ribosomal RNA". It matches the Rfam family "Bacterial small subunit ribosomal RNA", at positions 354 to 796 of the family's 1533-position model. The record is from RNAcentral.
GUAAGGAAUAUUGGGCAAUGGAGGCAACUCUGACCCAGCCAUGCCGCGUGAAGGAUUGACGGCCCUCUGGGUUGUAAACUUCUUUUGUACGGGAAUAACCCUCCGAACGUGUUCGGAGCUGAAGGUACCGUAAGAAUAAGGAUCGGCUAACUCUGUGCCAGCAGCCGCGGUAAUACGGAGGAUCCAAGCGUUAUCCGGAUUUACUGGGUUUAAAGGGUGCGUAGGCGGAUUGAUAAGUCAGUGGUGAAAACCUGCAGCUUAACUGCAGAACUGCCAUUGAUACUGCCAGUCUGGAGUAUGGUUGAGGUAGCUGGAAUGUGUCAUGUAGCGGUGAAAUGCUUAGAGAUGACACAGAACACCGACGGCGAAGGCAGGUUACCAACCCAUUACUGACGCUGAGGCACGAAAGCGUGGGGAUCAAACAGGAUUAGAUACCCGAGUAGUCC